GACGAACGCUGGCGGCGUGCCUAAUACAUGCAAGUCGAACGCUUCUUUCCUCCCGAGUGCUUGCUCUCAAUUGGAAAGAGGAGUGGCGGACGGGUGAGUAACACGUGCGUAACCUACCCAUCAGAGGGGGAUAACACUUGGAAACAGGUGCUAAUACCGCAUAACAGUUUAUGCCGCAUGGCAUAAGAGUGAAAGGCGCUUUCGGGUGUCGCUGAUGGAUGGACCCGCGGUGCAUUAGCUAGUUGGUGAGGUAACGGCUCACCAAGGCCACGAUGCAUAGCCGACCUGAGAGGGUGAUCGGCCACACUGGGACUGAGACACGGCCCAGACUCCUACGGGAGGCAGCAGUAGGGAAUCUUCGGCAAUGGACGAAAGUCUGACCGAGCAACGCCGCGUGAGUGAAGAAGGUUUUCGGAUCGUAAAACUCUGUUGUUAGAGAAGAACAAGGACGUUAGUAACUGAACGUCCCCUGACGGUAUCUAACCAGAAAGCCACGGCUAACUACGUG
RNAcentral lists this ribosomal RNA (508 nucleotides) under uncultured bacterium. RNAcentral describes it as "partial 16S ribosomal RNA". It matches the Rfam family "Bacterial small subunit ribosomal RNA", at positions 28 to 507 of the family's 1533-position model. The record is from RNAcentral.